RNAcentral lists this ribosomal RNA (409 nucleotides) under uncultured Nitrososphaerota archaeon. RNAcentral describes it as "bacterial SSU rRNA". It matches the Rfam family "Archaeal small subunit ribosomal RNA", at positions 452 to 861 of the family's 1478-position model. Lineage: Archaea; Thermoproteati; Nitrososphaerota. The record is from RNAcentral.
CUGGUGUCAGCCGCCGCGGUAAUACCAGCACCCCGAGUUAUCGGGACGAUUAUUGGGCCUAAAGCAUCCGUAGCCUGUUCUACAAGUCCUCCGUUAAAUCCACCUGCUCAACAGAUGGGCUGCGGGGGAUACUACAGAGCUAGGAGGCGGGAGAGGCAAACGGUACUCAGUGGGUAGGGGUAAAAUCCAUUGAUCUACUGAAGACCACCAGUGGCGAAGGCGGUUUGCCAGAACGCGCUCGACGGUGAGGGAUGAAAGCUGGGGGAGCAAACCGGAUUAGAUACCCGGGUAGUCCCAGCUGUAAACGAUGCAGACUCGGUGAUGGGUUGGCUUCGCGCUAACCCAGUGCCGCAGGGAAGCCGUUAAGUCUGCCGCCUGGGGAGUACGGUCGCAAGACUGAAACUUAAAG